GACGAACGCUGGCGGCGUGCUUAACACAUGCAAGUCGAACGGAAAGGCCCUGCUUUUGUGGGGUGCUCGAGUGGCGAACGGGUGAGUAACACGUGAGUAACCUGCCCUUGACUUUGGGAUAACUUCAGGAAACUGGGCUAAUACCGGAUAGGAGCUCCUGCUGCCUGGUGGGGGGUGGAAAGUUUCGGCGGUUGGGGAUGGACUCGCGGCUUAUCCGCUUGUUGGUGGGGUAGUGGCUUACCAAGGCUUUGACGGGUAGCCGGCCUGAGAGGGUGACCGGCCACAUUGGGACUGAGAUACGGCCCAGACUCCUACGGGGGGCAGCAGUGGGGAAUAUUGCACAAUGGGCGGAGGCCUGAUGCAGCAACGCCGCGUGCGGGAUGACGGCCUUCGGGUUGUAAACCGCUUUCGCCUGUGACGAAGCGUGAGUGACGGUAAUGGGUAAAGAAGCACCGGCUAACUACGUG
RNAcentral lists this ribosomal RNA (467 nucleotides) under uncultured bacterium. RNAcentral's name for it is "partial 16S ribosomal RNA". It matches the Rfam family "Bacterial small subunit ribosomal RNA", at positions 28 to 507 of the family's 1533-position model. The record is from RNAcentral.